RNAcentral lists this ribosomal RNA (263 nucleotides) under Branchinella compacta. Its description in RNAcentral is "partial 16S ribosomal RNA". The record is from RNAcentral. Lineage: Eukaryota; Metazoa; Arthropoda; Branchiopoda; Anostraca; Thamnocephalidae.
UUCCGUUUAUUUGAAGUUAAUUUUUUGGUGAAAAAGCUAAAAUUUUCUUAGAGGACGAUAAGACCCUAUAGAUCUUUAUAAGACUAUAUUAGAUCUUUAGGUGUUAUCAUUCUAGUAAAACUCUUAUUCCGUUGGGGCGACGUUGAGGGUUGAUACAUCUCUCAAAAUAAUUUUACAUCUAUUAAUGAUUUUUGAUCCUUCAAUGAAUUAAGAUGAAGUUACCUUAGGGAUAACAGCGUAAUUUUUCUUGAGAGUUCUUAUCG